Molecule: ribosomal RNA, 859 nt
Filed under: uncultured bacterium
Lineage: Bacteria
Description: bacterial SSU rRNA
Rfam family: Bacterial small subunit ribosomal RNA
Source: RNAcentral
AGAGUUUGAUCCUGGCUCAGGAUGAACGCUGGCGGCGUGCCUAACACAUGCAAGUCGAGCGCGAUUAAUUGGACUGGAGACUUCGGUCAAAGGGAAGAUUAUGAAAGCGGCGGACGGGUGAGUAACGCGUGAGCAACCUGCCCUGUACAGGGGGAUAGCCACUGGAAACGGUGAUUAAUACCCCAUAAACCCAAAGGACCGCAUGGUCCAAUGGGCAAAGUUCCAACGGUACAGGAUGGGCUCGCGUCUGAUUAGCUAGUUGGUGAGGUAACGGCUCACCAAGGCGACGAUCAGUAGCCGACCUGAGAGGGUGAACGGCCACACUGGAACUGAGACACGGUCCAGGCUCCUACGGGAGGCAGCAGUGGGGAAUAUUGCACAAUGGGCGCAAGCCUGAUGCAGCAACGCCGCGUGAGUGAUGAAGGCCUUCGGGUCGUAAAACUCUGUCCUAAGGGAAGAAGAAGUGACGGUACCUUAGGAGGAAGCCCCGGCUAACUACGUGCCAACAGCCGCGGUAAUACGUAGGGGGCAAGCGUUAUCCGGAAUCACUGGGCGUAAAGGGUGCGUAGGCGGCUGAUCAAGCCAGGGGUGAAAGGCAAUAGCUUAACUAUUGUAAGCCUUUGGAACUGGUCAGCUUGAGUGCAGGAGAGGAAAGCGGAAUUCCUAGUGUAGCGGUGAAAUGCGUAGAUAUUAGGAGGAACACCCGUGGCGAAGGCGGCUUUCUGGACUGUAACUGACGCUGAGGCACGAAAGCGUGGGGAGCAAACAGGAUUAGAUACCCUGGUAGUCCACGCUGUAAACGAUGAAUACUAGGUGUCGGGGGUCAAAGCCCGGUGCCGCAGCUAACGCAUUAAGUAUU